This 544-nucleotide long non-coding RNA is filed under the name Marmota monax (woodchuck). Lineage: Eukaryota; Metazoa; Chordata; Mammalia; Rodentia; Sciuridae. The record is from RNAcentral.
AAUACCUAUAACCAAAUACCUAAGAAUAAAUAUAAUGAAACAUGGAUGUAUCCAACUUAUGUAUUUAAAAAAUACGGAUAUUGCUUAGAAAAAUUAAUGAGUGCUUAAAAGAGAAAACUAUACCAUGUUCUUGAUUUUAUCUAUAUAUUGUAUCUAUAAAUUAAAUGAAUCCUAGCCAAAAUCCCAGCAAGUCUCUGUAGAAAUUAGGAAGUAGAUUCUAAAGUUUACAUUAGAAUAUGAAGGAGAAUAACCAAGGUAAUCUUAAAGGACAAUAAGUCUAGAGGACUUGCUUUCAGUACUUGAAUCAAGUAUUAAUUAACACCUACUAACUGCAGCAAUUCAGACAAUGUGGUAUUGGCAUAAGUGUAGAUAAGUAGACAAAUGGAACAGAAUAGAUUCUAGAAAUAGACAAGUGAGUGGACACGUGAAUGGACACAUGAUGUGCUACCAUUAUAUAUUGAAAUUUUAUAAUGUUUGCUUUUAGAAACUUCACUUUGUAUAUUGUAAAGUUAAUUUUUUCUUUUAAAUAAUUAUUUGGAAUGGC